ACUUACAUGCCGGCCAGUCCAUUUCCACAGCUUAGUUUUUUAUUACAAGAAUUUGAUUUCAGAGUUAAACGUUUGUUCCGUAGUCAUCAUCGUUUUUCUGUUCUGAUGGUGCUGCUCAUUUAUCCUUUAAGUGGUGGUUCAAGAGAGAGUUCGAAUAUUUGUCUUGUUUUGUUUUUCCAUUUCUUUUUUUCCUCAGCUUUCUUGAUUUUUCUGAUUAUUGUGGAGUUCGAAAAUUCCUUCUGAUUCCAUUAUGAGAUUCUCCCUUUGUUCUCCAGCCGCAGUUUAUCAGAGCGAUUAGAUUGCCUAAAUAUCGAUAGAAUUAAUAGUUCGGUUUCUAUUUUUCUCGUGGGUUUUGUUUUCGUCACUUCCCUAACCCUAAGUGGGGA
RNAcentral lists this long non-coding RNA (386 nucleotides) under Androctonus crassicauda. The record is from RNAcentral. Lineage: Eukaryota; Metazoa; Arthropoda; Arachnida; Scorpiones; Buthidae.